GACGAACGCUGGCGGCGUGCUUAACACAUGCAAGUCGAACGCGCCUGUCCUCUGGGUUUCUGGGGGGUGGGUGAGUGGCGAACGGGUGAGUAACACGUGAGUAACCUGCCCCCUUCUUCGGGAUAACGGUCUGAAAGGGCUGCUAAUACCGGGUAUUCACUGGUCUCCGCAUGGGGUCUGGUGGAAAGGUUUUUUUCUGGUGGGGGAUGGGCUCGCGGCCUAUCAGCUUGUUGGUGGGGUGAUGGCCCACCAAGGCUUUGACGGGUAGCCGGCCUGAGAGGGUGACCGGUAACAUUGGGACUGAGAUACGGCCCAGACUCCGACGGGAGGCAGCAGUGGGGAAUAUUGCACAAUGGGCGCAAGACUGAUGCAGCGACGCCGCGUGAGGGAUGGAGGCCUUCGGGUUGUGAACCUCUUUCGCCCGUGGUCAAGCCGCGACGUGGGUCGUGGUGAGGGUAGUGGGUAAAGAAGCGCCGGCUAACUACGUG
Molecule: ribosomal RNA, 488 nt
Filed under: uncultured bacterium
Lineage: Bacteria
Description: partial 16S ribosomal RNA
Rfam family: Bacterial small subunit ribosomal RNA
Source: RNAcentral